CCUACGGGUGGCAGCAGUGGGGAAUAUUGCACAAUGGGGGAAACCCUGAUGCAGCGACGCCGCGUGAGGGAAGAAGUUUUUCGGUAUGUAAAGCUCUAUCAGCAGGGAAGAAAAUGACGGUAUCUGAGUAAUAAGCCCCGGCUAACUCCGUGCCAGCAGCCGCGGUAAUACGGAGGGGGCAAGCGUUAUCCGGAUUUACUGGGUGUAAAGGGAGCGUAGACGGCAGAACAAGUCUGGAGUGAAAUGCCGGGGCUUAACCCCGGAACUGCUUUGGAAACUGUGCAGCUAGAGUGCAGGAGAGGUAGGUGGAAUUCCUGGUGUAGCGGUGAAAUGCGUAGAUAUUAGGAGGAACACCAGUGGCGAAGGCGACUUACUGGACUGUAACUGACGUUGAGGCUCGAAAGCGUGGGGAGCAAACAGGAUUAGAUACCCGAGUAGUC
This 440-nucleotide ribosomal RNA is filed under the name uncultured bacterium. RNAcentral's name for it is "partial 16S ribosomal RNA". It matches the Rfam family "Bacterial small subunit ribosomal RNA", at positions 338 to 795 of the family's 1533-position model. The record is from RNAcentral.